AAAAUCUUUUUGAAAAUCAACAUAUAGCAUACAAUUUCUUUUCACAGACAUAUAAACUAAAAUAGUUAUUCUUUAAACUGAAUAAGCUAAAUUCUAUAGCUUAAAAUCCGAUGAUACUAUCAAAACUAAAAUAUACUAUAAUCAUAAACAUCUUUAUUCUGUAUACUGCAUUUCUCAAAUCUGAUAAGCUAUGUAAUACUGAAACAUCCCACCAAAAAUGUACUCGGAAUAACCAUACUCGUGAAUCGAUUAAUCUCGAUAUACAUAGCAAGGUUAUUCAAUUCUGAAAUUAUGUAAUUCUGGUCGUACGCGCGCAGAGCUAUAAAAUGGUCAUACGCUAUGGAAACACAUUCACAAUAGUGCAGAGUGGGUAAAAUCACUAUACUGAUCAUAUACUGUGGAAACACAUUCACACCAGCGCAGAGUGGGUAAAAUAACCAUAUGAAGUCAUACACUAUGGAAACACAUUCACACCAGUGCAGACGAGGGUAAAAUCACUUGGGUACUUUCAGGUGGUUUUAAAAUAACUUUGAAUAUACUGAAAUAUUUAAUACUAAAAUAACAUGCUAAUACAAUGAUUUAAUAAAUUGAAUUUAACUUUUAGAAACAACCGGUUAUAAAUCAACUUUAUUCUGAAAAUCGUGUUGUCAAAUCGACUGUAUGAAUUAAUAAAUUUUCUGAGUUAAUAUAAAUUAAAUAAAUACUAAUUUCUGAAAAAUAAGCUUAUUCACUCACAUAAUACAAGCUGAACCUAAGAUGGUGAUAGGCUCUCCCAAUCUCCUCUUCACCACCUGGAAUACAUAACAAGAUGACUAAUCAACCACUAUUAAAUUAAGAAACUUUACGAUUUACUUCUAUAAUACUUAACUAAAAUUGGUCGAUGCUCGAAUGAAUUUCCCAAAUAUUCUUUUGAUCAAUUGGAGCUAAUCCCACUUUCUAAUCCAUUUUCUUGAAGGUUCGAAAGGGUAUCCGGGUUGUACUAGAGGGACGAAGGAAAUCUCAGUUGUACAUCUUGUAGGGGAGCGCAGAACCAGUUCAGAGACAUUUGGACAAGUUCAGUACUGUGGUGGACAUUCAAUUUGGUACAGUACCUCUCGGGUUUGGCUCUGGGUCAGUUAAGAACUUUGCUCAAGGAAGUGUUGGUGAUUCCGCUUUACCACCAAUUUUAACGGGUACACUGUGUUCUUGUAAUGCCAAUGGACUCAUGGAGCGUAGAUGCAGUUUGAGAUGUCUGUAAUGCUUUAGAAAUCAUUGAAGGUGACAAUAUUGGCAAGCGACCUUCUGAUUGUGCAUUUGGUGUUGUUUGUGCUAAAGGGUGUGCUUCGAUCCUGUCCAGUGAUUGUUAAUUCCGGGAGGAAUUUUGGGAAACCGGGUUUGGGUUCAGGUUUCGCUUGUGGACGCAGGGGGGGAACGUGUUAUCGUGGAGAGUUUGGUUACUGUGUUGAGGAGUUUGGUUAUUCUGAUGUAGACGGAUUAUUUCUUAAGGUAGAGAAAUUUUGGAAUUUCGUUCGUUGCACCGGAUUUUAAGUCAAGGUGGAGAUUGUUGAAUUUGUGCCUCAAAAUAAGGAAAUAUUGAAGAUUGCGUGUGAUCCUUAAACUUGGAAAUAUCAAAGUGGCAGACAAAAGGAAAUGGGAUCAAUUGGUAUCCAAAUCCAAGACACGUUAAUAUGGAAAGAAUCAAAGGAAUAAGGAAGAAAAAUAUGUGUGCCGUGAGCAGAUUUUUUUUACAUGUUUUUUUCCUUUUAAUUUCCAUCUUUUGCCAAGACUCAUGUAUUAUAAAUAUAGGACUCCUCUUUCAGUAUUGUUUAAGCCAUUAUUGUUGUAAUUCUCUCAUUUCAUAGAUUGAAUAAAAUAACAUCGUUCUUCUGC
Molecule: long non-coding RNA, 1869 nt
Filed under: Olea europaea subsp. europaea
Lineage: Eukaryota; Viridiplantae; Streptophyta; Magnoliopsida; Lamiales; Oleaceae
Source: RNAcentral